UGCGCGCGGUAAUUUGACCGUGCAAAGGUAGCAUAAUUAUUAGUCUUUUAAUUGAAGGCUUGAAUGAACGAUUGAAUGAAAAAUAAACUUUAUUAAUUAAAAAAAUUGAAAUUAUACUUUAAGUAAAAAUUCUUAAAUAUAUAAGUGGGACGAGAAGACCCUAUAGAGUUUAAUUUUUAUUUUAAUUAUAAUAUUAAAGAAUUAAUAUUUUUAUGAUUGAAAUAAUAUUUUUUAUUGGGGUGAUAUUAAAAUAUAUUUAACUUUUAAUUAAUAUUUCAUUAAUUUAUGUUUAAUUGAUCCAAAAAUUUUUGAUUAUAAGAUAAAAUUACCUUAGGGAUAACAGCGUUAUUAAUUUGAAGAGUUCAAAUCGAUAAAUUAGUUUGCGGCCUCGAUGUUGGAUUAAGAAAACAUUUUGGAGUAGUAUUUAAAAUAUUAGGUCUGUUCGACCUUUAAAUUCUUACG
Molecule: ribosomal RNA, 462 nt
Filed under: Pycna semiclara
Lineage: Eukaryota; Metazoa; Arthropoda; Insecta; Hemiptera; Cicadidae
Description: partial 16S ribosomal RNA
Rfam family: Bacterial large subunit ribosomal RNA
Source: RNAcentral